GUCUUGGCCAUAAACGAUGUUCACUAGGUGUCGGGGGUUUCCCUCGGUGCCGCAGCUAACGCAUUAAGUGAACCGCCUGGGGACUACGGCCGCAAGGUUGAAACUCAAAGGAAUUGGCGGGGGCCCGCACAAGCGGUGGAGCAUGUGGCUUAAUUCGAUGCAACGCGAAGAACCUUACCAGGGCUUGACAUGUACCUGCAAGCACCCGAAACGGUGCCGCCUUCGAGGGUGGUACACAGGUGGUGCAUGGCUGUCGU
RNAcentral lists this ribosomal RNA (257 nucleotides) under uncultured bacterium. RNAcentral describes it as "partial 16S ribosomal RNA". It matches the Rfam family "Bacterial small subunit ribosomal RNA", at positions 793 to 1055 of the family's 1533-position model. The record is from RNAcentral.